UACGUAGGGUCCGAGCGUUGUCCGGAAUUACUGGGCGUAAAGCGUGCGCAGGCGGCUUCUUAGGCAUGACGUGAAAGCCCGGAGCUCAACUCCGGGUCGGCCGUCGAUACUUCCGGGCUUGAGCACUGUAGAGGCAGAUGGAAUUCCGGGUGUAGCGGUGGAAUGCGUAGAGAUCCGGAAGAACACCGGUGGCGAAGGCGGUCUGCUGGGCAGUUGCUGACGCUGAUGCGCGGCAGCGUGGGGAGCAAACAGG
This 253-nucleotide ribosomal RNA is filed under the name uncultured bacterium. RNAcentral describes it as "partial 16S ribosomal RNA". It matches the Rfam family "Bacterial small subunit ribosomal RNA", at positions 524 to 776 of the family's 1533-position model. The record is from RNAcentral.